This 1170-nucleotide long non-coding RNA is filed under the name Takifugu rubripes (torafugu). RNAcentral describes it as "lncRNA (ENSTRUG00000030548.1)". The record is from RNAcentral. Lineage: Eukaryota; Metazoa; Chordata; Actinopteri; Tetraodontiformes; Tetraodontidae.
AUGUCCUUUUUCCUUUUUUGUCCUCAGGCCAGUUCAGCAGGUCACCAGACUCACCACACAAUCCAUGGCUUGCCCUCUUCCAGCACACCGGUGCAGGCACCGCUACAGUACCUUCAGCUUGGACAAAGUUACCCAGCUGCUCCCUAUACCGGCCAACACUGUGCAGCACCAGCUCCAGCUAGUCUCUGUUCAGUUACAGGCCUUUCUGCUAGUUAUGUUCCUGCAAAUAUGCAACAGACUCUACAAAAUACAGGAAAUAUUAUACCAUCAGCUGUGCCACAAAACUACCAGUCACCAAGUCACAAACAGCAACAACCAACAGCAGCGAGUUCUUUAAACUUUUCUUCAAAAGCCCAACAGACUUGUCAGAACUGUGUGAUGCCAACAACACAACAGAGUGUCUCUGCAUCAGGAUAUUCUGCUCCUGUUCAGCAGCAUACUGCUGCAGCCCCUGCUGUCCCAUCACAAAGCUAUCCUGCUGGCUCUGUAGUUCCAGGUUUAGCAACCCAAGCCCAGUGUCAUCCUGCACAAGUUCCCAGUGUGCUGCAACAGGUUCAAGGCACAGUCUGCCUCUCAAGUCAGCAUUCUGGUCAGAGCUCCUCCACACCAGCACUUUAUAGCCAACAGAUGCCAAUCCAACAAGAGAACCAGCAGACCUUCCUGCAAAGUUCUCAGUCCAAUAUUCAAGUAGCCCAAAAUGUCGGGCAGGGAUAUCUGAAGCCUCAACUCCAGCAUAAUCAAGAAAUUCAACAUAACCUUGUACAACAAAUGGCACAGCCGACCACAAAUCAGCAACAAGUCCAAACUCCAGCUAACCUUAGUCACAGUCAGAAACCCAUGCAGGCAACAGUUCGGCAGCAGAGCCAUGACACAUACCAGUCGACAUUCCAACAGACUCCUACACCAGCCUCACAACCUCUCCCCACCACUUCCCCUGUUAGUGUGGCAGCUGCACACCAAAGUUUCCCUGCUGCUGGUCUACAUGAUGCUGGCCCACAAAGCUAUUCAUGUUCUACCUUCAGCAUCCUGCAACAAUCAACUCCUCCAGCUCAAAACCAGUACCUGUCUGCACAGUCUACAACUCCACAAGCCUAUGGGGAGUUGAGCCAGGUGGGAUUCUUCAGGACUUUUCUAUCCUGUCAUGAAAUGAUGCAUUGCAGCAAGGUUUAA